CAGUCGCCGCGGGAAUACGUAGGGUGCGAGCGUUAAUCGGAAUUACUGGGCGUAAAGCGUGCGCAGGCGGUUUUGUAAGACAGGCGUGAAAUCCCCGGGCUCAACCUGGGAAUGGCGCUUGUGACUGCAAAGCUAGAGUGCGGCAGAGGGGGAUGGAAUUCCGCGUGUAGCAGUGAAAUGCGCAGAUAUGCGGAGGAACACCGAUGGCGAAGGCAAUCCCCUGGGCCUGCACUGACGCUCAUGCACGAAAGCGUGGGGAGCAAACAGGAUUAGAGACCCCAGUAGUCCCUGUCUCUUAUAC
Molecule: ribosomal RNA, 301 nt
Filed under: uncultured bacterium
Lineage: Bacteria
Description: partial 16S ribosomal RNA
Rfam family: Bacterial small subunit ribosomal RNA
Source: RNAcentral